RNAcentral lists this ribosomal RNA (497 nucleotides) under uncultured bacterium. RNAcentral describes it as "partial 16S ribosomal RNA". It matches the Rfam family "Bacterial small subunit ribosomal RNA", at positions 28 to 507 of the family's 1533-position model. The record is from RNAcentral.
GAUGAACGCUGGCGGCGUGCCUAAUACAUGCAAGUCGAGCGAACAGAUGAGGAGCUUGCUCCUCUGACGUUAGCGGCGGACGGGUGAGUAACACGUGGAGAACCUGCCUAUAAGACUGGGAUAACUUCGGGAAACCGGAGCUAAUACCGGAUAAUAUAUUUAACCGCAUGUUUCAAGAUUGAAAGACGCUAUUGCUGUCACUUAUAGAUGUAUCCGGGCGUCAUUAGCAGGUUGUUAAGGUAACGGUUUACCAAGCGGACGAUGCUUAGCCGCCUGGAGAGGGUGAUGGGCCACACGGGAACUGAGAAACGGUCCAGACUCUUACGGGAGGCAGAAGUAGGGAAUCUUCCGAAAUGGGCGAAAGCCGGACGGAGCAACGCCGCGUGAGUGAUGAAGGUCUUCGGAUCGUAAACCUCUGUUAUUAGGGAAGAACAAAUGUGUAAGUAACUAUGCACGUCUUGACGGUACCUAAUCAGAAAGCCACGGCUAACUACGUG